CCUACGGGUGGCAGCAGUCGAGAAUCAUUCACAAUGGGGGAAACCCUGAUGGUGCGACGCCGCGUGGGGGAAUGAAGGUCUUCGGAUUGUAAACCCCUGUCAUGUGGGAGCAAAUUAAAAAGAUAGUACCACAAGAGGAAGAGACGGCUUACUCUGUGCCAGCAGCCGCGGUAAAACAGAGGUCUCAAGCGUUGUUCGGAAUCACUGGGCGUAAAGCGUGGGUAAGGUGUUUCGAAAGUCCUGUGUUAAAUGGGCGGGGUCAACCCGCAGGACGCUCAUGAAACUGCGGGACUAGAGUAAUGGAGGGGGGACCGGAAUUCUAGGUGUAGCAGUGAAAUGCGUAGAUAUCGAGAGGAACACUCGUGGCGAAGGCGGGUUCCUGGACAUUAACUGACGCUGAGGCACGAAGGCCAGGGGAGCGAAAGGGAUUAGAUACCCGUGUAGUC
This 446-nucleotide ribosomal RNA is filed under the name uncultured bacterium. RNAcentral's name for it is "partial 16S ribosomal RNA". It matches the Rfam family "Bacterial small subunit ribosomal RNA", at positions 338 to 795 of the family's 1533-position model. The record is from RNAcentral.